Molecule: ribosomal RNA, 375 nt
Filed under: uncultured organism
Description: bacterial SSU rRNA
Rfam family: Archaeal small subunit ribosomal RNA
Source: RNAcentral
CCAGCACCCCGAGUGGUCGGGACGAUUAUUGGGCCUAAAGCAUCCGUAGCCGGCCUUACAAGUCCUCCGUUAAAUCCAGCUGCUUAACAGAUGGGCCGCGGAGGAUACUAUAAGACUAGGAGGCAGGAGAGGCAAGCGGUACUCAGUGGGUAGGGGUAAAAUCCGUUGAUCCAUUGAAGACCACCAGUGGCGAAGGCGGCUUGCCAGAAUGCGCUCGACGGUGAGGGAUGAAAGCUGGGGGAGCAAACCGGAUUAGAUACCCGGGUAGUCCCAGCUGUAAACGAUGCAGACUCGGUGAUGGACCAGCUUAAUGCUCGUCCAGUGCCGCAGGGAAGCCGUUAAGUCUGCCGCCUGGGUAGUACGGUCGCAAGACUG